CUGGCGGCGUGCCUAAUACUGCAAGUCGAGCGAACAGACGAGGAGCUUGCUCCUCUGACGUUAGCGGCGGACGGGUGAGUAACACGUGGAUAACCUACCUAUAAGACUGGGAUAACUUCGGGAAACCGGAGCUAAUACCGGAUAAUAUAUUGAACCGCAUGGUUCAAUAGUGAAAGACGGUUUUGCUGUCACUUAUAGAUGGAUCCGCGCCGCAUUAGCUAGUUGGUAAGGUAACGGCUUACCAAGGCAACGAUGCGUAGCCGACCUGAGAGGGUGAUCGGCCACACUGGAACUGAGACACGGUCCAGACUCCUACGGGAGGCAGCAGUAGGGAAUCUUCCGCAAUGGGCGAAAGCCUGACGGAGCAACGCCGCGUGAGUGAUGAAGGUCUUCGGAUCGUAAAACUCUGUUAUUAGGGAAGAACAAAUGUGUAAGUAACUAUGCACGUCUUGACGGUACCUAAUCAGAAAGCCACGGCUAACUACGUGCCAGCAGCCGCGGUAAUACGUAGGUGGCAAGCGUUAUCCGGAAUUAUUGGGCGUAAAGCGCGCGUAGGCGGUUUUUUAAGUCUGAUGUGAAAGCCCACGGCUCAACCGUGGAGGGUCAUUGGAAACUGGAAAACUUGAGUGCAGAAGAGGAAAGUGGAAUUCCAUGUGUAGCGGUGAAAUGCGCAGAGAUAUGGAGGAACACCAGUGGCGAAGGCGACUUUCUGGUCUGUAACUGACGCUGAUGUGCGAAAGCGUGGGGAUCAACAGGA
This 757-nucleotide ribosomal RNA is filed under the name Staphylococcus sp. 'Staph. M3'. Its description in RNAcentral is "bacterial SSU rRNA". It matches the Rfam family "Bacterial small subunit ribosomal RNA", at positions 36 to 777 of the family's 1533-position model. Lineage: Bacteria; Bacillati; Bacillota; Bacilli; Caryophanales; Staphylococcaceae. The record is from RNAcentral.